Molecule: ribosomal RNA, 218 nt
Filed under: uncultured bacterium
Lineage: Bacteria
Description: partial 16S ribosomal RNA
Rfam family: Bacterial small subunit ribosomal RNA
Source: RNAcentral
CCGUCUCAGUUCGGAUUGCAGGCUGAAACCCGCCUGCAUGAAGUUGGAAUUGCUAGUAAUCGUGGAUCAGCAUGCCACGGUGAAUACGUUCCCGGGCCUUGUACACACCGCCCGUCACACCACGAGAGUCGGGAACACCCGAAGUCCGUAGUCUAACCGUAAGGAGGGCGCGGCCGAAGGUGGGUCUGGUAAUUGGGGUGAAGUCGUAACAAGGUACC